UGCAAGUCGAGGGGUAGAAAGUCUUCGGACUUUUGAGACCGGCGAACGGGUGAGUAACACGUAGAUAAUCUGUCUCUGGAUGGGGGAUAGCCCNAUGGAAACAUGGGUGUAAUACCCGCAUAAGCUCUCUUUUUCAUAAGGAGGAGAGAGGAAAGGCGCUUAGGGGUCGUCCGGAGAGGAGUCUGCGGUUCAUUAGUUAGUUGGUGGGGUAAAGGCCUACCAAGGCGACGAUGAAUAGCCGGCCUGAGAGGGUGAACGGCCACACUGGGACUGAGACACGGCCCAGACUCCUACGGGAGGCAGCAGCUAAGAAUCUUCCGCAAUGGGCGAAAGCCUGACGGAGCGACGCCGCGUGAACGAAGAAGGCCUAACGGUUGUAAAGUUCUUUUCUUGGGGAGGAAUAAGCCUUGCAGGGAAUGGCAGGGUGAUGACGUUAACCGAGGAAAAAGCCCCGGCUAAUUACGUGCCAGCAGCCGCGGUAACACGUAAGGGGCGAGCGUUGUUCGGAAUUAUUGGGCGUAAAGGGCGCGUAGGCGGCAUGGCAAGUCAGGUGUGAAAGAUCUCAGCUCAACUGAGGAAACGCGCUUGAAACUGCUGUGCUGGAGUCUAGGAGGGGAAGCUGGAAUUCCUAGUGUAGGGGUGAAAUCAGUAGAUAUUAGGAAGAACACCGGUGGCGAAGGCGAGCUUCUGGCCAUAGACUGACGCUGAGGCGCGAAAGCGUGGGGAGCGAACAGGAUUAGAUACCCUGGUAGUCCACGCCGUAAACGAUGUGCACUGGGUGUCGGCCCGUUGGGGUCGGUGCCGAAGCUAACGCGAUAAGUGCACCGCCUGGGGAGUAUGCUCGCAAGGGUGAAACUCAAAAGAAUUGACGGGGGCCCGCACAAGCGGUGGAGCAUGUGGUUUAAUUCGAUGAUACGCGAGAAACCUUACCAGGGCUUGACAUAUGUAAGACAGCGUUGGAGACAACGCCUCUCUUCGGAGCCUAUAUACAGGUGCUGCAUGGCUGUCGUCAGCUCGUGCUGUGAAGUGUUGGGUUAAGUCCCGCAACGAGCGCAACC
Molecule: ribosomal RNA, 1058 nt
Filed under: uncultured organism
Description: bacterial SSU rRNA
Rfam family: Bacterial small subunit ribosomal RNA
Source: RNAcentral